GUAAUACUCCCUUCGUCUUAAAAUUUUUGUCUUAGAUUUGUUUAGAUAUGAAUGUAUCUAGUCACGUUUUAGUAUUUUGAUACAGUCAUUUCUAGAGAAACCUAAGACAAGAAUUUUGAGAUGGAGGAAAUACAAC
This 136-nucleotide microRNA precursor is filed under the name Hordeum vulgare. Its description in RNAcentral is "microRNA MIR1122". It matches the Rfam family "MIR1120/MIR1122 microRNA precursor family". Lineage: Eukaryota; Viridiplantae; Streptophyta; Magnoliopsida; Poales; Poaceae. The record is from RNAcentral.